Molecule: ribosomal RNA, 684 nt
Filed under: marine metagenome
Description: bacterial SSU rRNA
Rfam family: Bacterial small subunit ribosomal RNA
Source: RNAcentral
AUACGGAGGGUGCAAGCGUUAUCCGGAUUUAUUGGGUUUAAAGGGUCCGCAGGCGGAACUUUAAGUCAGUGGUGAAAGCCUACAGCUUAACUGUAGAAUUGCCAUUGAAACUGAAGUUCUUGAGUGUGGUUGAAGUGGGCGGAAUAUGUCAUGUAGCGGUGAAAUGCAUAGAUAUGACAUGGAACACCUAUUGCGAAAGCAGCUCACUAAACCAUUACUGACGCUCAUGGACGAAAGUGUGGGUAGCGAACAGGAUUAGAUACCCUGGUAGUCCACACCGUAAACUAUGAUCACUAGAUGUUGGCGAUAUAAUGUCAGUGUUAAAGAGAAAUCGUUAAGUGAUCCACCUGGGGAGUACGUUCGCAAGAAUGAAACUCAAAGGAAUUGACGGGGGCCCGCACAAGCGGUGGAGCAUGUGGUUUAAUUCGAUGAUACGCGAGGAACCUUACCAAGGCUUAAAUGUAAAACGACCGGUUGAGAAAUCAAUCUUUUUUCGAACGAUUUACAAGGUGCUGCAUGGUUGUCGUCAGCUCGUGCCGUGAGGUGUCGGGUUAAGUCCCAUAACGAGCGCAACCCCUAUUUUUAGUUACCAGCGAGUAAUGUCGGGAACUCUAAAGAAACUGCCCGUGCAAACGGAGAGGAAGGUGGGGAUGACGUCAAAUCAUCACGGCCCUUAUGUCUUGG